RNAcentral lists this ribosomal RNA (2077 nucleotides) under Shigella boydii. RNAcentral's name for it is "partial 23S ribosomal RNA". It matches the Rfam family "Bacterial large subunit ribosomal RNA", at positions 1 to 2094 of the family's 2925-position model. Lineage: Bacteria; Pseudomonadati; Pseudomonadota; Gammaproteobacteria; Enterobacterales; Enterobacteriaceae. The record is from RNAcentral.
GGGUUGUGAGGUUAAGCGACUAAGCGUACACGGUGGAUGCCCUGGCAGUCAGAGGCGAUGAAGGACGUGCUAAUCUGCGAUAAGCGUCGGUAAGGUGAUAUGAACCAUUAUAACCGGCGAUUUCCGAAUGGGGAAACCCAGUGUGAUUCGUCACACUAUCAUUAACUGAAUCCAUAGGUUAAUGAGGCGAACCGGGGGAACUGAAACAUCUAAGUACCCCGAGGAAAAGAAAUCAACCGAGAUUCCCCCAGUAGCGGCGAGCGAACGGGGAGCAGCCCAGAGCCUGAAUCAGUGUGUGUGUUAGUGGAAGCGUCUGGAAAGGCGUGCGAUACAGGGUGACAGCCCCGUACACAAAAAUGCACAUAUUGUGAGCUCGAUGAGUAGGGCGGGACACGUGGUAUCCUGUCUGAAUAUGGGGGGACCAUCCUCCAAGGCUAAAUACUCCUGACUGACCGAUAGUGAACCAGUACCGUGAGGGAAAGGCGAAAAGAACCCCGGCGAGGGGAGUGAAAAAGAACCUGAAACCGUGUACGUACAAGCAGUGGGAGCACGCUUAGGCGUGUGACUGCGUACCUUUUGUAUAAUGGGUCAGCGACUUAUAUUCUGUAGCAAGGUUAACCGAAUAGGGGAGCCGAAGGGAAACCGAGUCUUAACUGGGCGUUAAGUUGCAGGGUAUAGACCCGAAACCCGGUGAUCUAGCCAUGGGCAGGUUGAAGGUUGGGUAACACUAACUGGAGGACCGAACCGACUAAUGUUGAAAAAUUAGCGGAUGACUUGUGGCUGGGGGUGAAAGGCCAAUCAAACCGGGAGAUAGCUGGUUCUCCCCGAAAGCUAUUUAGGUAGCGCCUCGUGAAUUCAUCUCCGGGGGUAGAGCACUGUUUCGGCAAGGGGGUCAUCCCGACUUACCAACCCGAUGCAAACUGCGAAUACCGGAGAAUGUUAUCACGGGAGACACACGGCGGGUGCUAACGUCCGUCGUGAAGAGGGAAACAACCCAGACCGCCAGCUAAGGUCCCAAAGUCAUGGUUAAGUGGGAAACGAUGUGGGAAGGCCCAGACAGCCAGGAUGUUGGCUUAGAAGCAGCCAUCAUUUAAAGAAAGCGUAAUAGCUCACUGGUCGAGUCGGCCUGCGCGGAAGAUGUAACGGGGCUAAACCAUGCACCGAAGCUGCGGCAGCGACGCUGAUGCGUUGUUGGGUAGGGGAGCGUUCUGUAAGCCUGUGAAGGUGUGCUGUGAGGUAUGCUGGAGGUAUCAGAAGUGCGAAUGCUGACAUAAGUAACGAUAAAGCGGGUGAAAAGCCCGCUCGCCGGAAGACCAAGGGUUCCUGUCCAACGUUAAUCGGGGCAGGGUGAGUCGACCCCUAAGGCGAGGCCGAAAGGCGUAGUCGAUGGGAAACAGGUUAAUAUUCCUGUACUUGGUGUUACUGCGAAGGGGGGACGGAGAAGGCUAUGUUGGCCGGGCGACGGUUGUCCCGGUUUAAGCGUGUAGGCUGGUUUUCCAGGCAAAUCCGGAAAACUAAGGCUGAGGCGUGAUGACGAGGCACUACGGUGCUGAAGCAACAAAUGCCCUGCUUCCAGGAAAAGCCUCUAAGCAUCAGGUAACAUCAAAUCGUACCCCAAACCGACACAGGUGGUCAGGUAGAGAAUACCAAGGCGCUUGAGAGAACUCGGGUGAAGGAACUAGGCAAAAUGGUGCCGUAACUUCGGGAGAAGGCACGCUGAUAUGUAGGUGAAGUCCCUCGCGGAUGGAGCUGAAAUCAGUCGAAGAUACCAGCUGGCUGCAACUGUUUAUUAAAAACACAGCACUGUGCAAACACGAAAGUGGACGUAUACGGUGUGACGCCUGCCCGGUGCCGGAAGGUUAAUUGAUGGGGUCAGCGCAAGCGAAGCUCUUGAUCGAAGCCCCGGUAAACGGCGGCCGUAACUAUAACGGUCCUAAGGUAGCGAAAUUCCUUGUCGGGUAAGUUCCGACCUGCACGAAUGGCGUAAUGAUGGCCAGGCUGUCUCCACCCGAGACUCAGUGAAAUUGAACUCGCUGUGAAGAUGCAGUGUACCCGCGGCAAGACGGAAAGACCCCGU